Molecule: ribosomal RNA, 497 nt
Filed under: uncultured bacterium
Lineage: Bacteria
Description: partial 16S ribosomal RNA
Rfam family: Bacterial small subunit ribosomal RNA
Source: RNAcentral
GAUGAACGCUGGCGGCGUGCCUAAUACAUGCCAGUCGAGCGAACGGACGAGAAGCUUGCUUCUCUGAUGUUAGCGGCGGACAGGUGAGUAACACGUGGAUAACCUACCUAUAAGACUGGGAUAACUUCGGGAAACCGUAGCUAAUACCGGAUAAUAUUUUGAACCGCAUGGUUCAAAAGUGAAAGACGGUCUUGCUGUCACUUAUAGAUGGAUCCGCGCUGCAUUAGCUAGUUGGUAAGGUAACGGCUUACCAAGGCAACGAUGCAUAGCCGACCUGAGAGGGUGAUCGGCCACACUGGAACUGAGACACGGUCCAGACUCCUACGGGAGGCAGCAGUAGGGAAUCUUCCGCAAUGGGCGAAAGCCUGACGGAGCAACGCCGCGUGAGUGAUGAAGGUCUUCGGAUCGUAAAACUCUGUUAUUAGGGAAGAACAUAUGUGUAAGUAACUGUGCACAUCUUGACGGUACCUAAUCAGAAAGCCACGGCUAACUACGUG